UACAGAGGGUGCGAGCGUUAAUCGGAAUUACUGGGCGUAAAGCGUGCGUAGACGGUAGCGUAAGUCAGAUGUGAAAGCCCCGGGCUCAACCUGGGAAUUGCAUUUGAGACUGCUCUGCUCGGGUGCGGAAGAGGGAAGCGGAAUUUCCGGUGUAGCGGUGAAAUGCGUAGAUAUCGGAAGGAACACCAGUUGCGAAAGCGGCUUCCUGGUCCGACACCGACUUUCAGGCACGAAAGCGUAGGGAGCAAACAGG
RNAcentral lists this ribosomal RNA (253 nucleotides) under uncultured bacterium. RNAcentral describes it as "partial 16S ribosomal RNA". It matches the Rfam family "Bacterial small subunit ribosomal RNA", at positions 524 to 776 of the family's 1533-position model. The record is from RNAcentral.